RNAcentral lists this ribosomal RNA (492 nucleotides) under uncultured bacterium. Its description in RNAcentral is "partial 16S ribosomal RNA". It matches the Rfam family "Bacterial small subunit ribosomal RNA", at positions 29 to 507 of the family's 1533-position model. The record is from RNAcentral.
AGUGAACGCUGGCGGUAGGCCUAACACAUGCAAGUCGAACGGCAGCACAGUAAGAGCUUGCUCUUACGGGUGGCGAGUGGCGGACGGGUGAGGAAUACAUCGGAAUCUACUUUUUCGUGGGGGAUAACGUAGGGAAACUUACGCUAAUACCGCAUACGACCUACGGGUGAAAGCAGGGGAUCUUCGGACCUUGCGCGAUUGAAUGAGCCGAUGUCGGAUUAGCUAGUUGGCGGGGUAAAGGCCCACCAAGGCGACGAUCCGUAGCUGGUCUGAGAGGAUGAUCAGCCACACUGGAACUGAGACACGGUCCAGACUCCUACGGGAGGCAGCAGUGGGGAAUAUUGGACAAUGGGCGCAAGCCUGAUCCAGCCAUACCGCGUGGGUGAAGAAGGACUUCGGGUUGUAAAGCCCUUUUGUUGGGAAAGAAAAGCAGCAGGUUAAUACCCCGCUGUUCUGACGGUACCAAAAGAAUAAGCACCGGCUAACUUCGUG